UUCAUCCCCGGCGAGCCGGCGACUGCCUCGCCGCUGGUGGAAGGUGGCGCCGCCGGCACGGCCGGUUUGAUCUUCUUUUUGUCACCGCGAGGGGGUUGGGCCCUGGUGUCUCCUUGCUUCCCCGGCGUGCUGACCUCCGUUGUUAGAUCCAUCUGGGAGAGGCUGCUCCUCAGCCAUUCGUCCUCCUCGCCUUCUGUUGGGCUCAGCUGUACCAAUUCCGACAACAGAAAAAGUGUUCCUUCUAUCAGAGAAGAACACCAACAUAAUGUCCACUGUUCUUUAGCAGCCAAAGGAUCAGAUUUGGUCUCCUCACCUUCACAUCGGUGAGAUCGACGUUCCCCUUCCUGAGAUACUUCAUGAACUCCCGGAAGUUCGCCUCUGUGGGCCGGUAGUGCCCGCUAUGAGGCCACACAGCCUGAAGACGGUGGGUAACUGAAUCAGACAGGUGAAUUUGGAAUUCUAAACAUAAAAUCUAAAUUCUGGCAAUAGUAGAAAUAUGCAGAUCCAGGCACCUUUAGGAUUCCGUUCGCAACGACUAAUCUCCCGGCAGCAGAUGUGGCUCCACCGGCAAGGAAGCUGGAGUGCUGAAAUGUUCCCUUGCUCUUCUGCAAUAAUGUGCUUAUUUCAUCAGUUACAGAAUUUUCGUCGUGCUCAACACAAAGAUCCAUUUUGCAUCCUUGGGCCCCUCGGACGUGUUGACAAUCUUGCGGCUCAGCUUGUACAUCAUCAUCUUAUUCUCGAUCAUUACCUCAUAGAACUCCCUCUCUUUCUGCACAGAGAAACAACACCAUGUUCAGAUAUGUGACAUUUUAUGCCCUGUUUUUUUGUUUCCUUGCUUGAUCGCUAGUACUAACAUUUUCUAAUUUGAGAUUACAGCUGGAUUGUUCUACAGGUCGCAGCAACUUACAGGGCCAAGAUACCUGAUGCAUUGGUGCAGCAGCUUCCAUCUUGGGCAUUGGUCCUCAAGAUUAAUCUCUUUUCCUUCACCUACAUCCAACCUAUCACAAACGGAAUUUCAGAAAUCAUGAGCUUGUUUUUGUUGAUCUAGUUCACAGAUAAUGCAGAGUUCAGCAUGAACUGUACCAGUAGAAGAAAGGUUGUUGACUGUCGCAGUGAAGCCAGCUUUUAUAAUAGUAGUGGAGGUUGUGACCGUAUCGAUGCCGGGGGUCAAUCUGCCCAUGAAAUACUAUGGAAUUUGAGUUUGAUGUGUUCAAUGCUAUUAUAGGAGAGUGUUUGAAGAGAAUGUUUCCGAGCCAUACUGCUUCUAGCCAAUGCUGAAGUGCGAGCUUCUGGGCCUUUUCAUCCUUGGACAAACCUUUGCCUACCUUGAAGUAACAACAAAGGAACACCACCCAUAUGAAUUCAGUAUUCAGCAGUAUUACAAUAUGCUAAUGGUCAUUAAGAAAAUCUAAACAGCAGAAUAUGGUUAGCUUAAAGUGACACAUACCUUGGCAGCCUUUAUUCUGGCCCGUGACCAUCUUGUUAGGGCAGUCUCUGGCUUCUCUACCUCGAAGAAUGACACCGAACUUUGCUUGAGCAGUGCGAAAUCGAGAAGCUUCCACCUGAAUUCGGCAUCGCAAAUUUCAGGACACCAGUUACAAAGGGCCACUGUAUCAAAUACGACAAUGGACGACAAGCACAUGAAAUUGUAACAUACCACCGUUGUUCGACAAGAACAGCGCAGUCAGCAAGCUGUCGUCUUGUUCUGAAGCUCUUGUAUACCUUCUGCACCCUUAUUGCUGCAGCCUGGUGCUGCGGACUGACCAUCCCUACCACCGGAGAAUUUGGUGGCAGGUGAUCUGCCCCAUAUUUCGAAAGGACCCCUAGAGCUCACCGCAUCGAACAUUUCUGGUGGCGAAUCAGGGGUCUCAAGGCUGCUGAGGUUGUCAAAGCUUAAGGACCGGACAAAUGGCCUGUCCGAGUUGUCAUCAUCUGCUGGCAAGUAGUCAUCCGGUGGGUAUGAGAUCGACAGACCCAUUGUUUGCCUCAGGUCUAUUGUUUCCUCUGUAUGACUUGCUUCUGUUGUUUAAGAUCUCUGUAGCAAUUGUGUUCUUUACGAGUCCCUCGACACCCUAUGUGAAUACAGGGAAAACAAAGGACAUCAAAUGUGUGUGGCUUCUGUGAAUGAACAAAAUUGUCUUAACAACAGAUUUCAUGUAUUCUCUUCCAUUGUUCUAUAUCUUAUCAAGGCCCACCAAUCAUAGAUUUUGUGCAAAAGAAUUCACAUCUUACCUCUUAUGAUAAGAUCACAAGUAUAUAAGAUUUAUGUAUAGCAUGUUUUCAUAAGCUGAUGCCCCAGAGAAUCUGGAACAAAAUGCAAACCGCAAAAGAAUUUCGUUGCUCGUUUCUUGAUAAGUGCACCUGGUUCCAGCAUAACACAUUCUAACCAAGCGAACAGAUAUACCAUGGAAAAGGAUUUUUACGGCAAGAAUCGAGUAAUGA
This is a long non-coding RNA of Triticum aestivum (bread wheat), 2442 nucleotides long. RefSeq lists it as uncharacterized. The record is from RefSeq and is a predicted model, not a curated record. Lineage: Eukaryota; Viridiplantae; Streptophyta; Magnoliopsida; Poales; Poaceae. The transcript has 3 exons.